Molecule: non-coding RNA, 74 nt
Organism: Cordylochernes scorpioides
Lineage: Eukaryota; Metazoa; Arthropoda; Arachnida; Pseudoscorpiones; Chernetidae
Source: the annotation of a GenBank genome assembly
CGCAGUCGACAGGAUUCGAACCUGUGCGGGAAGAUCCCAAUGGAUUUCUAGUCCAUCGCCUUGGCCACGACUGC